UUGGUCAUUGGUAAAAUACUGACCAGCCGUUUGAGCUUGAGUAAGCAUUUGGCGCAUAAUCUCGGAAACCUGCUGUUGCUUGGAAAGAUUGGUGUUUUCCAUAAUAGACGCAACGCGAGCAGUAGACUCCUUCUGUUGAUAAGCAAGCAUCUCAUUUUGUGCAUAUACCUGGUCUUUCGUAUUCUGGCGU
This 190-nucleotide ribosomal RNA is filed under the name uncultured prokaryote. RNAcentral's name for it is "partial 16S ribosomal RNA". The record is from RNAcentral.